This 678-nucleotide ribosomal RNA is filed under the name Triticum aestivum (bread wheat). RNAcentral's name for it is "partial small subunit ribosomal RNA". The record is from RNAcentral. Lineage: Eukaryota; Viridiplantae; Streptophyta; Magnoliopsida; Poales; Poaceae.
GAGCUCUCACCUCAAGUCAUACUCGCCCUAAAAAAAGAGCCAUACUCACCGACCAGAGAUCGCCGGUCAUCUCCCCACUUCGCCGGCCACCACCCCCGCUCGACCCCUUUCCCAACCAACGCAUCCACUGCUCCUCCAGCCGGGCAGAGCGGAGGCGGCCGCUCGCGCGCGACGGCGGGUGCCGGCCACCUCCCCCAACCCUUAACCUCCCCAGUCCCCACCUCGCCGGCCACCGCCCCCGCACGGUGCACGCCCGCCUCCUCUCCACUUCUCUGCGGACGUCGCUCGCCGUCUCUGUUUCCUGCCGAUCUCACUUCACCAUCGACAGCAGGCCUACGUAUGGCGGCCAGACGCAACAUUCCUUAUUCUGUUCUUCCUACAGAGGACAGGGAUGAGGACAAUAUUGACCGUCGGUUCACAUACACCCCAAAAUCCUUGAGGAGGAUCCCAUGGAAGUCGAUUGCCCUAGCCUUAUUCCUCCUCUUCCUGGGAAGCUCUCUUCUGUUCCUUUCGUAUUUUAUAUUCACAGGUCACAUGGAGGGUGAUAGCACUCAGGUGUAUGGUCUAUUGUUCCUGGGUAUCCUUGCCUUUCUUCCUGGAUUUUAUGAGACCCGAGUUGCAUACUAUUCAUGGAGAGGAGCACCAGGCUACACCUUUGCAUCCAUUCCUGAUUAUUAG